UCUGGUAUUGAUUGGUGCUUGCAUCAUGAUUUACAUUUGAGUGAGUGGCGAACUGGUGAGUAACACGUGGGAAACCUGCCCAGAAGCGGGGGAUAACACCUGGAAACAGAUGCUAAUACCGCAUAACAACUUGGACCGCAUGGUCCGAGUUUGAAAGAUGGCUUCGGCUAUCACUUUUGGAUGGUCCCGCGGCGUAUUAGCUAGAUGGUGGGGUAACGGCUCACCAUGGCAAUGAUACGUAGCCGACCUGAGAGGGUAAUCGGCCACAUUGGGACUGAGACACGGCCCAAACUCCUACGGGAGGCAGCAGUAGGGAAUCUUCCACAAUGGACGAAAGUCUGAUGGAGCAACGCCGCGUGAGUGAAGAAGGGUUUCGGCUCGUAAAACUCUGUUGUUAAAGAAGAACAUAUCUGAGAGUAACUGUUCAGGUAUUGACGGUAUUUAACCAGAAAGCCACGGCUAACUACGUGCCAGCAGCCGCGGUAAUACGUAGGUGGCAAGCGUUGUCCGGAUUUAUUGGGCGUAAAGCGAGCGCAGGCGGUUUUUUAAGUCUGAUGUGAAAGCCUUCGGCUCAACCGAAGAAGUGCAUCGGAAACUGGGAAACUUGAGUGCAGAAGAGGACAGUGGAACUCCAUGUGUAGCGGUGAAAUGCGUAGAUAUAUGGAAGAACACCAGUGGCGAAGGCGGCUGUCUGGUCUGUAACUGACGCUGAGGCUCGAAAGUAUGGGUAGCAAACAGGAUUAGAUACCCUGGUAGUCCAUACCGUAAACGAUGAAUGCUAAGUGUUGGAGGGUUUCCGCCCUUCAGUGCUGCAGCUAACGCAUUAAGCAUUCCGCCUGGGGAGUACGGCCGCAAGGCUGAAACUCAAAGGAAUUGACGGGGGCCCGCACAAGCGGUGGAGCAUGUGGUUUAAUUCGAAGCUACGCGAAGAACCUUACCAGGUCUUGACAUACUAUGCAAAUCUAAGAGAUUAGACGUUCCCUUCGGGGACAUGGAUACAGGUGGUGCAUGGUUGUCGUCAGCUCGUGUCGUGAGAUGUUGGGUUAAGUCCCGCAACGAGCGCAACCCUUAUUAUCAGUUGCCAGCAUUAAGUUGGGCACUCUGGUGAGACUGCCGGUGACAAACCGGAGGAAGGUGGGGAUGACGUCAAAUCAUCAUGCCCCUUAUGACCUGGGCUACACACGUGCUACAAUGGAUGGUACAACGAGUUGCGAACUCGCGAGAGUAAGCUAAUCUCUUAAAGCCAUUCUCAGUUCGGAUUGUAGGCUGCAACUCGCCUACAUGAAGUCGGAAUCGCUAGUAAUCGCGGAUCAGCAUGCCGCGGUGAAUACGUUCCCGGGCCUUGUACACACCGCCCGUCA
RNAcentral lists this ribosomal RNA (1361 nucleotides) under Lactiplantibacillus plantarum. RNAcentral's name for it is "bacterial SSU rRNA". It matches the Rfam family "Bacterial small subunit ribosomal RNA", at positions 62 to 1399 of the family's 1533-position model. Lineage: Bacteria; Bacillati; Bacillota; Bacilli; Lactobacillales; Lactobacillaceae. The record is from RNAcentral.